This 813-nucleotide ribosomal RNA is filed under the name Strigeidida sp. S6N2B1(P). RNAcentral describes it as "SSU rRNA". It matches the Rfam family "Eukaryotic small subunit ribosomal RNA", at positions 148 to 875 of the family's 1831-position model. Lineage: Eukaryota; Metazoa; Platyhelminthes; Trematoda; Strigeidida. The record is from RNAcentral.
CUGUAGUAAUUCUAGAGCUAAUACAUGCCACUAUGCCCUGAUYCGCUAGGGAACGGGUGGAUUUAUUAGAACAGAACCAACCGGGGGAGGCUUCGGCUGACCCUGUUGUACUCUGUGAUGACUCUGGAUAACUUUACUGAUCGCAGUCGGCCUUGUGUCGGCGACGGAUCUUUCAAAUGUCUGCCCUAUCAACUUUCGAUGGUAGGUGAUCUGCCUACCAUGGUGAUAACGGGUAACGGGGAAUCAGGGUUCGAUUCCGGAGAGGGAGCCUGAGAAACGGCUACCACAUCCAAGGAAGGCAGCAGGCGCGAAAAUUACCCACUCCCGGCACGGGGAGGUAGUGACGAAAAAUACGAAUACGGGACUCACUCGAGGCUCCGUAAUUCGAAUGAGUACAAUCUAAAUCCUUUAACGAGGACCAAUUGGAGGGCAAGUCUGGUGCCAGCAGCCGCGGUAACUCCAGCUCCAAAAGCGUAUAUUAAAGUUGCUGCAGUUAAAAAGCUCGUAGUUGGAUCUGGGUCGUGCGUUCACAUGUCGUUUCUUGAAUCUGGCUUCGGUCAGAUUCAAGUGAUGAUACAGUGGUCGUGCAGCCUUUCAGCCGUGUCUGCGUAAGCAGGUGUUGGCUGGCUGGUGAGCUUGCUUGCUGGCUAGUCGGCAUGUUUCCUGAUGCCUUUAAACGGGUGUCGGGGGCGUACGGCACUUUUACUUUGAACAAAUUUGAGUGCUCAAAGCAGCCCAUGUGCCUGAAAAGUCUUGCAUGGAAUAAUGGAAUAGGACUUCGGUUCUAUUUUGUUGGUUUCCGGAUCCGAAGUA